This 117-nucleotide small nuclear RNA is filed under the name Bicyclus anynana (squinting bush brown). RNAcentral's name for it is "U5 spliceosomal RNA". It matches the Rfam family "U5 spliceosomal RNA". Rfam says of the family: U5 RNA is a component of both types of known spliceosome. The record is from Rfam by way of RNAcentral. Lineage: Eukaryota; Metazoa; Arthropoda; Insecta; Lepidoptera; Nymphalidae.
UAACUCUGGUUUCCCUUCAAAACGCAUAAAUCUUUCGCCUUUUACUAAAGAUUUCCGUGGAGGGGAACACUCAAAUGAGUCUUUACUAUUUUUGAAAGCCUUACUUAUGGUAAGGCU